AUUAAACAAAAAAAAAAAAGAUGAUAGGUUGCGUCGGUAAUUGUGUAGAGGUUAAUUCAGUCACCAGGUAAAGUCAGUCACCAGGUAAAGUCAAGUCACCAGGUAAAUUUAGUCACCAGGUAAAAUCAGUCACCAGGUAAAUUAAGUCACCAGGUAAAAUCAGUCACCAGGUAAAUUAAGUCACCAGGUAAAAUCAGUUACCAGGUAAAUUAAGUCACCAGGUAAAAUCAGUCACCAGGUAAAUUAAGUCACCAGGUAAAAUCAGUCACCAGGUAAAUUAAGUCACCAGGUAAAAUCAGUCACCAGGUAAAUUAAGUCACCAGGUAAAAUCAGUCACCAGGUAAAAUCAGUCACCAGGUAAAUUAAGUCACCAGGUAAUCUCAGGUAUGGAUCACUCUGGUUCACCUAGUCACCAGUAAUUAAGUCGCCAGGUUAGAGGACUUACUUGAUAAAUGAAAGAAGAAAAAAGAAUGAAAGAAAAGUUGGAAAAAAAGUAGUUUGAGAAAGUAUUAUGUAGAAAGUAAGAUGAUGAAGGAAGAAGAGAAAGAAAGAAGGAAGGAAAAAAGAUAGGAAAAACGUGGAGAGAAAAUAAUGGGAGGAAAAUAAGGUUGCAUCAAUAUUUAAGUUCAAAGAAAAUUUAGGAAGGAAAACAAGAAAUAAGGAAAAAAAUGAUAGUUUGUGAUAAUAUAUACAUAAGAAGAAAAAAAAGAGGAAAAGAAAGAAAAUACGAAAAAGAGAAGAAGAAAACAGAGGGAGAGAGAGAGAGGAAAUGAGAUAAUA
This is a long non-coding RNA of Eriocheir sinensis (Chinese mitten crab), 780 nucleotides long. RefSeq lists it as uncharacterized. The record is from RefSeq and is a predicted model, not a curated record. NCBI's taxonomy places the organism in Eukaryota, Metazoa, Arthropoda, Malacostraca, Decapoda, Varunidae. The transcript has 3 exons.